RNAcentral lists this unclassified non-coding RNA (323 nucleotides) under Anginon paniculatum. RNAcentral's name for it is "psbA-trnH intergenic spacer". Lineage: Eukaryota; Viridiplantae; Streptophyta; Magnoliopsida; Apiales; Apiaceae. The record is from RNAcentral. RNAcentral also lists the same sequence under 1 other name.
GACCGGGUCUUAGUAUAUACGAGUUUUUUUAAAAUAAAAAGGAGCAAUAACCUCUUUCUUGUUCUAUCAAGAAAGAGGGCGGUAUUGCUCCUUUUUUUAUUUAUUUUUUAUUUACUAGUAUUUACCUAGUUUGUUUAAAAAAUUUUAGACAACCGUCUUUUUUUUCUUUUUAUGGGUUCGUUCAUGAUUGAUUAUCAUACUUUCAUUCUAUACAAUUUGGCUACCUUCUUCCCAACAUUUUGGGAAGUAUUAAAAAAAAGUAUUAAAUUAUUUUGAAUGAUCAAAAAGGAAUCUUUGGAAAUGCAAAUAAAAGAAAACUGGGG